This 84-nucleotide transfer RNA is filed under the name Asterophora parasitica. It matches the Rfam family "tRNA". Rfam says of the family: Transfer RNA (tRNA) molecules are approximately 80 nucleotides in length. Lineage: Eukaryota; Fungi; Basidiomycota; Agaricomycetes; Agaricales; Lyophyllaceae. The record is from Rfam by way of RNAcentral.
ACACCGAUGGUGAAGUGGUUAUCAUGCUUGCCUUCCACUUGAUAAUGGUAGCAAGCGGCAGGGGUUCGAUUCCCCUUCGGUGUA